RNAcentral lists this long non-coding RNA (1546 nucleotides) under Heterocephalus glaber (naked mole-rat). RNAcentral describes it as "lncRNA (ENSHGLG00100048334.1)". The record is from RNAcentral. Lineage: Eukaryota; Metazoa; Chordata; Mammalia; Rodentia; Bathyergidae.
GAAGCCUCUCUCCCAACAAUGCCAGCUCCCCAGGCCGCUGCCUAUUCUCCUGGGUGCUGUGCCGCCCCACAGCUGCUAGUUUUUCGGGGAUUCUGGGCCAGGUGAUGUUCCUACUCAACUUCAACCAACUUGUACAGCUCCAUGGUGGCCUAGGCAUCUUCCACAGAGGAGUGUCCACUUUUCCAGCCAGAGGCGCGAAGUGAGGGGAUCGGAAGUCGAGGUGCUGAGGCCCCUGGAGGCUGUUCUUUGAGGACCUGCUCCAAUGCGCUGCAGUACGCUCACCUGUCUCAUCGUCUGCACUCCUCUCUUGUCAGUUGUUACUUCUUGCUUCCAAAGAACUCUCAAGAUAAUACCUCUUCUUCCUCCUUGUAAUUCAUUUUCCACUUCUAAUCUGUAAUAUGCUUAGUUGAUCUUUUUGGAAUUGUGUCUAGAAGUAAGAGUAAAUUGGUUCUCUGAAAGGCAUUUUUUAAGGGUUGGGAGUCAGAGGCUUUAACACAGUAUGUGGGACUGGUAACAUCUGGUUUUUCUGUUGGUUUGUUUGUAUUUUCCUUGUUCUCAUUUAUUUUAUGAGUAGCUAAGGCUCCCAGAUAGUUAACUUUUGGAAAGGUAAUGAAAUCUUACAACAUCUGAUUUCAUGAAUUGUGUAUUUUAUGUAUCCUAUACUAUUAACUACAUGUUAAGCAGCUGAUGCACGCUUCAGAUUGCUGGAGUUGACGUACCAUCUACUGAGGGCUGAUUGAUCGUUAAACAGGAUUUUAUAGCAGUACUUAUUGACUGUGUGCAUAUCAUCAAUAAGGAAAAAAAACCCCAAAAUCGAACUGUUAAAUAUACCCUUUGAAACAAUGGAAAGCAAGGACAGGAUUCUGUAUCAUGAAGACUGUUUCUGUGAAUUGUGAAAGUACAUUUUCCUUGCUUAAUAAGUUGGCCAAAGGGCAAGAUAAAAUGUCAGGUUACAAGUCUACUCAGAAGCACAGUUUAUUUUCUGUAAUAUUUUGCUUGUUGUGACUACUGUGUCGUCAUUGUCUCUUGUGUACUGUUGUACAUGUCAAAAUGUUCCACAUCUUUUGUUUUGCUGUUAUGAAGCUUUAUGUUAGAAGUGCUCCAGUUUUUUGAAGUUGUGGUCAGGAGUUCUAUUUUGAACUGACCAUGUAGUGAUUUCACUGUAUAAAAGCUGAAGUUUGAUCUCAUUCAAGCUUCUUGAAAAAAAAAAGUUUAGUUUAAAAUUUGUAGUUUUGUUAAAUCUGAAAAUCAUUGCAAGUCAGUAAUAACCUUCUGUGAGUAACAGUAUUUUGUAUACAGAAGAUUUGCUUCCAAAAUGCCACAUUCAAAGGUUACAAUAUUCUUGAAAAGUGGGAGAGUAUACACAUCAAAGAAGGCAUUUUUAUCACAUCGGACUUUGGCCAGCCUCCUCAGCUUGGUGUGUUAAGGGUUCAUUUUGGCUUGUUUGGCACGGCUCCCAGUGCACGCCUUCAGAAUUGUGGUUAGCAACAUGAAUGAAUUACAGAGUUUGGCUGAGCUCCUCAGCUAGUAGAGCUGGCUUCCUGCC